Molecule: ribosomal RNA, 253 nt
Filed under: uncultured bacterium
Lineage: Bacteria
Description: partial 16S ribosomal RNA
Rfam family: Bacterial small subunit ribosomal RNA
Source: RNAcentral
CACGUAGGGCGCAAGCGUUGUCCGGAAUUAUUGGGCGUAAAGAGCUCGUAGGUGGUUUGCUGCGUCCGCUGUGAAAACCCAAGGCUUAACCUUGGGCUUGCAGUGGAUACGGGCAGACUAGAGGUAGGUAGGGGAGAAUGGAAUUCCCGGUGUAGCGGUGAAAUGCGCAGAUAUCGGGAGGAACACCAGUGGCGAAGGCGAUCACCUGGGGUUGUUCUGACGCUGAGGAGCGAAAGCUAGGGGAGCAAACGGG